AGGGGCUUAGGCUAGACCAAGACCAAGGGCCUUCAAAGCCCUAAGCGAGAGUGAAAACCUCUCAGCCCCUA
Molecule: transfer RNA, 71 nt
Filed under: Stemonosudis rothschildi (Rothschild's barracudina)
Lineage: Eukaryota; Metazoa; Chordata; Actinopteri; Aulopiformes; Paralepididae
Description: tRNA-Trp
Rfam family: tRNA
About the family: Transfer RNA (tRNA) molecules are approximately 80 nucleotides in length. Their secondary structure includes four short double-helical elements and three loops (D, anti-codon, and T loops).
Source: RNAcentral